UUCACGAUGGUGUCAGUCGUCAGUAUGGAGACUGGAAGAAAGCUGCUAGUACUGUAGGUUCAAGUUGUCAUUUUAAAACUUUGUUUUUAAUUUAUUUAUACCGCAAAAUAUAAAUUAUAGUCUUAUAUUAUUCGCCAACAAAUAACACAUUAGUUCAGCGAAAAUAUUUGACUUUCGUUUAUCGUCUCUCGGGAAUGUAAACCUCAGUAGAAACUUUCCAAAGUGAGGGGAUGUUCCAGAUGGACAAGGUUGCAGCGCCUCACUGACUCAGAGAAGCCCAAGUCCCAAGGAGAGAGGAUCCUCAAGCCCCAGGGAGACGGACUGCAGGGGCAGGGAGACACCCUGCAGGGAGAUGGGCUCAGAGGAGAGGAGUUCAGCCAUGUCUCACAAGAUCUCUUCCCCCUCACACAGCAACAGCAGCUCCUCCUCCAAACACGACAGCCGACAGGACAGUUGGGAGAUUGUAGAGGGGCUGUGUGUAACCUUGUUGUGUUUACAGGACAGUUGGUAUAUUGUAGAGGGGCUGUGUGUAACCUUGUUGUGUGUCUACAGGACAGUUGGUAGAUUGUAGGGGGGCUGUGUGUAACCUUGUUGUGUGUCUACAGGACAGUUGGUAGAUUGUAGGGGGGCUGUGUGUAACCUUGUUGUGUCUACAGGACAGUUGGG
Molecule: long non-coding RNA, 666 nt
Organism: Oncorhynchus keta (chum salmon)
Lineage: Eukaryota; Metazoa; Chordata; Actinopteri; Salmoniformes; Salmonidae
Exons: 3
Source: RefSeq, a predicted model, not a curated record